This is a non-coding RNA of Petromyzon marinus (sea lamprey), 2682 nucleotides long. Lineage: Eukaryota; Metazoa; Chordata; Hyperoartia; Petromyzontiformes; Petromyzontidae. The record is from RefSeq and is a predicted model, not a curated record.
UAUAAACUGUACAUAGAGUGAGACCCUGGACAGAGAUUUUCCUCUCCCUCCUGGAGGCUGAAUUGCCCUGCUGUUGCCAAGGAAUUUGGCCAUUUCAAUUCGUAUGUUGCAUUACAUCUAGGAGUAGCUCGCGUCUGUUUAAUGAGUGAAACUGCGACGUAAUUACGAAAUAAUCGCCUAUUAACAAUCAUUAGUAUUUCCUCUGUGUGCAGUAAAAUGCCUGCGAAUUGGUGGCGGCAGCAAAAUGGACGCUAUCUCGGUGAUGGUGGAGCAAUCCAAGCGAGGCCGUGUGGGAGGGAGUUUUAAGUGCAAGGGAAGACGAGGCGGCGUUGCUGUUGUUGCUACGCGUGAAGCAAGUGGAGUUGACAGCAGCGGCAGUGACAUGGGGCAGCGGCCAGUAGCAGCUGUAGAGAGUUACCACCGAAGGCCUACGAAGCAGAAGUGCCGAGGGCCUACAAGAACCUUCAUCCGGCCUUGCAGCUGGGAAGUUCUGUGACCUCCGAUGUGGCGGCGGCUGCGGUGGUUCCGCACGCACAGCCCGCGGAACGAAACGUUGAGGCCAUGCAUCAUGCGCUUGGAACCGGGACGAGGCUGGCUGGCGAUUUGCAUGGUAAAUCACGGCGGCGUUGUAUAUAGUUAAUCAGCGACCCACAAUGGCUGGCAGUGAACUCGUGAUUUCUCUCGGGUGCACACCUCUCCACCCCCUCCCCCCCCCCCCCGAUAUCUACCGAGGUGUAAAUGGGAGGCGUCCGUGCUGUGCCCUUGCAUUUGCAUGAAAUGUUUCUUCAUAUACCGCUCGCUGAACACAACGAAAUCCCCAAUAAUACUGUUACAAACUAUAAGCCAGCAUUCCGUGUUUUAGAAACUGUCACCUUUGUUACAAUGUAUUUUUAAAAUUACAUCACAAUAAAAAAUACAGCAUCUAAAUGCAGCCACAUCUCAAAAUGUUCUACAGGAAAUUGCAGGGAAUAUUUAUUUUAAAAUGAGAAAGAGGCAGUCAUUGGCAGCGGGAACAAAAAUUACGUCUCAAACCUCGACUUGAAAAGGGGCAGGGGAAUUAAAAGCAUGGACGUCUGGGCGAUUGUUCAUUAACACAAAGUCUGGAGCGCUGGAGCGGAGAGUGUGUGAUGAGUUAGAAUGAGAUGAGAGGGGAUAAGUAGUGACUGACGAGUCCAUGGAGGACCUCUAUAAUGAUGAGUGAGGUUUUGACAUUGAUCCAGGAGCGAUUUGGAUAUUGGAGUGAUAUAGUCUCAACUUACGAGUGUUGUGAGGAGUCUGGCGAUGGAAUUUUUGAUCAUUUGGAGUUUAAAGAUGAUGGUUUUAGGAAGGCUGUAGAGGAGACAGCUGCAACACGCAAGAAUGUUGAAUCAUACCAUGUGCGUAUGCUCGAUAAUAUGCCACGUGUGCGUAUGUAUGUUGAACUUAUUUCGCAUCGUAUGUAGCCAAUCGUGACAAUUGGAGGUGUAUCCUGGGCACAUGUCAAACCUCAUCGAGUAUACUUCACAUCGACAUCACCUUGAUAAUAGAGGCUAAUGGUUGUAUCAUUAUGUUAGGAAUUACCCUUUGGGAAUCGGGAAAUGCACCGAUAGCAAAUGCCUCUCAUAAAACAAUGGUUUGUGCAAUAUUCAUAUUGGAUUAUUUAUUUUGAAUGAUGAGUUAGUUAUAUUGCUUACAGAACAUUCAAUGUUUGUUUAGAGGCUCAAAAAGAGCAAAGCGAUGAUGCAUUAAUGAUGACACUCUAUAAACCAAUUAAUUUGUUGACAGUGUUACGUACUGCCUUACCUACCAGCAACAGGCGCUGAUUAUAGGUGUAAAUGAGAAAAUGAUGAGGUUGGUGUAGCUUCAAAUAGGGCUGCUAAUAAUUCCCUGCUGUAAAUGUGGUGUCAGGAGAGCAGUGCUCCCGCAAGGCAGCAUGGCCUGGCGUCUCCCCGUCCCAUCGAUCCCAAUAAUGAACCAGGUGCUGUCCUCCCAGGGAUUGCCGUCACAGCACCCAAGGCAUGCCCGCGUCAAUUAAGCUGAUGGGUUUUUUCAUGCCGACUUUUCAUAAUGUUUAUGCUUCGUGGGUGAAAAGGAGCAAAUGGCGUUGCCUGGAUACAUCUCGACCUCAAAGGCUGCCUUCAGUGCUAAUUCGUUUGCAGGUGUGAUCGCUCGUAACUACAUUUUUUUUAAAAUAACAAUAACGCUUGCGUGAUUUCCCAAGUUUCUAUUUGCAAACGGGUCGCUGUAUUUCAAUGGCCUCUCGUGCGGUUAAAUAAGUUGCCUUGGACCAGAAUUAGUGCGUGGUCGUGUUGCAUACUUUACAGUACCUUAUACGGAUUGAUAUUAAUACUCAGUGGCGUACAUUGUGUUUUGUAGUCAUUACGUUUGUAAUUUUCUCAUGUUCAGUACACUGUUGCCAUGCCUUAAAUUGUCUUAAUAUUGUUGUAACAGCAUUGGCAGGGAGAUCCCACCACCAGCACCACACACUGUGCCAGCGAUUUGCACAUCGCUGGCACAGUGUGUGGGGGUUGUUGCUGGGGCAGCAUGUCUGUGUUCAGUGGGCGAGGUGCUGGCCACCGAGCCCUCUCGUGCGCCGUGUCGGCCUUCAUAGGUGCUACUCGCUAACAGCACUUGCCCCCAACAGUCUGUUAGGGCUAUUACUGGUGAAUCUUUGUCUUUGUGCUCAGUGCUGGGAUAUGAGUU